CCGGCUCCCGGGGUCUCGGGCUGGAGAGACACGUCUCCCGCCCCGGGGCCGGGUGGUGCGCGCAGGAGGAGGACCCAGCAGCGGGCUCUGCCUGGGCUUGCCUGGGCUUGUUCAGAGCCGGGCCGCUUCCCUCCGUGGCCGCGCAGAUCCGGGGGGACCUCGAGAUUUUGCGGGCGCCUUGCAGCCAAGCCCCGGGGAGGAGGGGUCUGGAAGCCCGCGCCGCAGGCUCGCCCGGUCCCACGGGGAGCGGCAGGUAAACGCUUGUGUUCUCAGUCCGUUCGAAAGUUCGCAAAGGAGGAGGCAGGAACUUUCCUCCUCAUAAUGGGAACCCUGUUGUUGAAUUGUGUGGCCUCCGAGUCAUACGGAGAAGAAUUUCCAAGAGGCAACAAAAUGCUCUUUGAUUUCAUAAUCUCUGGAGAGAAAGGAUUCCUUUUCUGGGUUUUGCGCGGCUGGGUUUUUUGUUUGUUUGUUUCCUUCGUCUUCGCUCUCCGCGGUGGGUGCAGAAGGGGGCUCGCUGGUCUAGGGGUGGAAAUGGGGACUCUGGUUUUAUUGCCGCCGCUUCCCCCACCUACGAUGGGAGCAAAUCCCUCGGUUUCCUGAAAGUGGGGACGUGGAGACUAGCUCCCCAAGGUGGCUGUGACAAAUCUCAGCAGAUAGGAAAAGUAGUCCUGUGGCCACUACGGUAACGUGACAUCAGGGGCCCAGUCUGCCAGCCUGCAUUUUAAAGAGAGGAACAGGGGACCGGGUUUCAGCCUUCCUGUCCCCAAGGUGAACAUGAGCUCUCCGACCCCCCAGCCCCCAGGGGCCAGAGCGGGGUGGGGUCCGGCCUGGGAGCUUCAGGUCAGGAUGGGGUCCGGAUCCGCAAGCCGCAAUGCGGGGGGACCCUCCCUCACCCUCCGGUUUUGGUUGAUGUGGUCCGGUAGCACUGACAGGGCUCAUGCUCUGGUGCCUUCACUGUUUCUGGGCCUGGUGGAGCACAGGGAGCAAGGGGACAGCAUGGCUGUGCAGAGAGGCCCGCGGCCGACGCCCUCCUGGUGUGUCCACGCUGGUCUCCUGCAGCGAGGAGUGGCAGUGUUGCCUGGAUUAGUGGAACCCCGCAGUGGAUGCUACGAGCUGCAUCAUGGGACAGAAUGGCUCACGGUAAGUUAUGUGGGGUCAAUUCUGCCUCUGCCCCCAGGCCUGAGAAGACUCUGGGACAAAUGGCCACUCCCCGGAGCCUUCAUACUCUGCAUGUGCCGCUAGAUGGUCAAACGGGCCAGAUCAUCCAGUGCGGUGCGGUAAUGGCCGAGACGGGUGGCCGGGCAGGACAGAAGGCCAGUAUUCCCCUUGGGGGUCUGUCCCGGGGCAAGGGGCCGAUGGGGCAGCAUCUGCUGGUACCCCGGGGGCCCAUCUGCUGCCAUGUGGGUUAGUGGCCUGUCUCCUGAGCUUCCCAAGCUUGAGGACUGGCCUGCUCUGCCCUGCCGAGUCCAGCUGUCUGUCUGGCCUCAAGGGUCCCCUGGUUAACAGAUGUGGCAGCCACAGGGACCGCACUUUACUCCCCACCCCGAGUCCUCGGUGCACAUCACAAAUCAGUAAUCCCGAACGUGCGCGGGCCCCCGGGCCCUUGCAUCACCGACUGCUAGGCAGCACUUUGUGUCGAUUAUGUAAGCUGAUUGCCAUCCGGGCCCGGCACCUGCCCUUGUACCUGGGCUCGGAGGUGUAGGAAGACAAAAGUAGGGACCGUGCAGUCCUGGUCGGAGGCUGCCCAACCUCGGGUCACAGGAGCUCAGACGUAGGUAAUAAGAGAAUAGCUGCACGGACUCAUUCGUUCGUUCCUUCAGCAAAUAUUUAUUGAGCCUUUGCUCCGCGCCACCGUUAUUUGAACGUGAGGCAUACAGCGGUGAACCCGAAGGAAGAUCCUCGCUUUUGUGGUGCUUCUCUUCUGCUGGAGGAAUCGGGCGGUACACAGACACGGUGAACUUUUAAAGCAACGUUAGGUGGAGAUAAACGCCGUGAAGGGCUAGGAGGGUGAAGAGUGGCAGAGAGGCGUUGUUGGUUUUGAUGGGGGAGGGAGGGAUUAAGUCAUUGAGGAGAAACCUGAAUAAAGGCGAGGAGAAGGCUCUGCGGGCAGAAGGGUCCUGCGUUUGGCGCAUUGGAGCAGUUUACAGGCAAGCCAGUGAGGCCGGAGGGGAGUGGCGGCGGCCGAGGUCCUGGGAAACCCAAAGGCUGAUGUUGAGCAGCGUUUGGAGAGUUCUGAUCUGUAAGUGUCAUAAUCUUAGGUUUUAUUUUUUUUAAUUUUUUUUAACGUUUUUAUUUAUUUUUGAGACAGGGAGAGACAGAGCAUGAACGGGGGAGGGUCAGAGAGAGGGAGACACAGAAUCUGAAACAGGCUCCAGGCUCUGAGCUGUCAGCACCGAGCCCGACGCGGGGCUCGAACUCACGGACCGCGAGAUCACGACCUGAGCCGAAGUCGGCCGCUUAACCGACUGAGCCACCCAGGCGCCCCAGUCUUAGGUUUUAAAACUAUCACUCUGGGCUGCUGGGUAAAGAAAUGUACAGAAUUAAUUAAUUCUCCUGUACUGUUAAUUCCUGUAACAGUACAGGAGGCUGUUCCUGGGGGCUGGCUAGAAACCACAGUGGCUCGGACUGGGCUGUAGCAUGGGGGUAGAGGCGUAGGUUUUGAAGGGGGAACCAACAGAGUCCACUGCUGGAGGGCCCCGGGGGGGAUAGAACAAAACAUAGAGGAGACCAAGAUGAUCCGGGGUCUGCGGCUUGCACAGACCGGUGAAUCAUUUGUUGACACGGGGGACCAGGAUUUUACGGGGAUCUGGAAUGCCGUUUUGGCUGCGAUAAAGUUGCCUGUCAGACACCCAAGUGGGGAUGGUAUUGGGUGCUAGAAACUGGAGGUCAGGGCAGGGGCAUCUCUGUGACUCCGGUGGUACCAAAUGCCACGGGAUGGGGGGAGGUUGCCGAGGGAGGGGAUAGUGGAGGUUUAAGCGAAGGUGGGGGCUAGUUGUCUCGGAGAGCGGGGACAGAACGGAUAAGGGAAGUGACAGAAGAGUGCCUGGCAAGUGGCAGCUAUUUGCUAAAGAUUGGAUGGACGCGUGCAUAGAAACUCGUGGGACUGCUGUGCAGAGCGGGGCAGAAAGCCCAGCCGGGGAAUGUAAUCCGACGGUAGGUACUCUGGGGUCUCAGGGGCUCACAGGGCUGGGGAGAGGCCAGGACGGUUUUGUGACAGCAGAAGGGAUUCGGUCUGAGCCCGGGAGAGCCGCCAGGGCUCUGAGACAGUUGGAGGGAAGGGAGAGGUACACCGAAGGGAAUGGCAUUCGCAGGAUUAGGCACGCAAGAGGCGGGUUUAGAAGUCUGUUACGGGAUCAGUGGAGGCUUCUUAGGAAGGGAGGGUUGGUGCAGCAGAAUGGCUGAGGCCCCCCCCGGGGGCCGGAGCGGGGGAUGGGGGGGGACAGGAGGAGCAGCCAGAGACUGAGAGAGCCUGCCCCCCACCCUGCCAGACGGGGGUGACAGCCUGGGCCCCCUCCUGCUGCCCCCGCCCCAUCCCCUCCCCUGCUGCAGCCCAGGUUGUGACACCUGACAGACGGUAUGUCCUCAGGUCUCUGUGAGGUGGGGAGGGCCCGAGGAUUACGGUCUGUGUUUUUGACAGCUGAAAAGCGAGGCGCAGGGAGGUCGUGGGGCUCCCCUCCUUAGGGUGAUGUGGGCGCAGUCCCGCCCCAAAGCCCUCCAGCACUCCUGGCUGGGUUUGCACUUGACUGUCGCCUUGUCUGAGAGGAUUGCCCGUCUCUUGUGUUAGGACAAAAUGGGCAUCUGUUUUUCUUUUUUUAAUUUUUUAACGUUUAUUUAAUCUUGAGAAAGAGAGAGAGAGCGCGUGAGCAGGGAAGGGGCAGAGAGAGAGGGAGACACAGAAUCCGAAGCGGGCUCCAGGCUCCGAGCUGUCAGCACAGAGCCCGACGUGGGUCUCGAACUCACGAGCCACGAGAUCAUGACCACGAGCCACGAGAUCAUGACCUGAGCCAAAGGUCGGACCACCAACCGACUGAGCCACCCAGGUUCCCCCGGGGCAUCUUUUUCUUCGAGGCUGUGUGACGGCGAGCGCUCCUUGCUUCUGUUCAGCCGGGGAGGGCUGGAAGGGGCCUCUUUAAAUCUCAGCUUCGAUGAUCCUGGAGUCCUGUGGAUUGAAAGCGGUUGGUGACUGGCCUUGGGGCUUUCCCCUCUGGGUCUGGCUGUAGAUGCCAGGCCGAGGCUGCUAGAUGCCAGGGUCUGGCGGCCCGUGUGGAUCGUUUUUCUCCAUUCAUAAGCGCCUUGGUUCUCACUGGGGUCCCCAGUGUCCAUUAAGCCCACGACUUUCCGGUCAAGGGCUUGACAUCCAGGUCUUCUUUGCCACUAGCUGCAUGCAGCUGCAAAUAGGACUUAACUUUCCUGGGUUUGGUUCUUCCUCUAUAAAAUUACGGUUACGUUAGGACCUACUUCGUAGAGUCACGGUAUCAGAUAGAUGAGACGACGAGUAUAAAGUGUGGACCAAGCUGCUGUGGCAGCUGGGAGGCAUCGUCAGAGGUCAAGAGCUUCUCUUUCUCAGAUAUUUAGUACUUUCAUAAAUCAGAAGAACCUUCCUCUACGCCCGAUAGUACUGAGUAAGGUGUUUGGAGUUGUUUGAUUUUUGCGUUGCAAAUAUCCCUCUCAACUUCCCCUUCCUAAAAACUGCUUUCGUUUUUGUUGUUAUUGCUAACUAGUGUUGCAAACAUUUAAAUGGUGUGAAAUGCCUUGGGUUGAUGCAAAUAGAAUACCCCCCCCCCCCCCCCCCGCUCCUGAGUCACUGGCUAUGGGCCGGUGGCCACUGACCCCAGUGCACUGUGGGGUUGAUCCAGUGCCUGGAGCCCACGGUGUCGACCACUCUCACCCUGGGGCCCCACCUUGACCUCUGUGGUGCCAAGUGACCUCUCUCCGCCCUGUCAUUUGACGUUUGGCUUGUCCCUUUCUGAGAAUAGUGCUGACUCACUCCUCCCAGCUUCCCACCUCACCUCCUGUGGGCGGGCACUCCUGCCUGAUUGUCGCCUCCUCCUCCUGGAUAGUAGGCGGGGGGAAGGGACCGUCCAUCCAGAGGAGAAAGAGUUGUCCUGACGGUUGGAGAGUGGGGGGCAGGGUUAGUUGACUUGGGCUGAGUUGAUUCCUGAUCCUGGCGCUAGACAUGUUCUGAGGCUGUCACAUCAUGUCGCAAUAAAAUUAAUUAAAACGGAUUAAAGGUGAAAGUGGAUAAGACUGUUGUCCCCAUAACCCCUCUAUUGUGAAACCCACCACCCGUGGUGGGGUGAAGCCAGUUUAAAAUCCCAGCCCACGUUGGGGCACCUGGGUGGCUCAGUCGGUUAAGCGUCCGACUUCGGCUCAGGUCAUGAUCUUACGGUCUGGGAGUUCGCGCCCCGCGUCGGGCUCUGCGCUGACAGCUCAGGGCCGGGAGCCUGUUUCGGACUCUGUGUCUCCCUCUCUCUCUGCACCCCCCCCUCUCAAAAAUAAAUGAACAUUAAAAAAAUGAAAUUUUUUUUGUAAUCCUAGCCCACGAGAUUGAGCCCUAAGCAAUGCUAUCCCUCCUCCAGGAUCUCUGCAAGGCUGGUGGUUCUCAGAAUUGUCUCCAAAUCCGGAAGGAGAUUAACAUCCCUUGCCUCCAACCUGGAGAGACAAACAGCUCUUGAUCAUUUUCUGAGAAAGGUGCUGGGGGUGGGGGCUGUGUUGAAUUUACUCACCCUGGGUACCACCCAGGCGUCUCCCUUCCCUGAUCACCCCCUCCUUAAUCAGGGCAUAACCAGAUGGGGGGCACAGAUGAGGGGUGCAGACGUUCCCUGAGAGACUGUUGGCCUCUAGCAAAGUGGGCGGAGUUGUCCCUGGGCUUCUUCCCUCUUGGUCUCGGGCGUAACCCCCCCUUGCUGGCUGCCCCACAAUUCCAAUCCGGCACCCCACUUUGGCGCCCGCUGAGGACUGUCUUAUCCCCUGAAAUGCAUCUAACCCCCCAAACACUUCAAAAGUUGCACUCCCUUAGAGCCAUUCAUAAGCCACAUCAUUCAACACUGAUUUGGCGGAAAAAAAGCCAACGCUUCGGUCGCCUCUCCCGUUCUCUCCCCUGCACCGGAGAAUCACACCUUCUCCCAAAUGCUUCUAGAAACGCGAGCUGCCACUGUGUAUGCGCGGUGCUAAUUAUGCUCAUUUAUGUGAAUCGUUUCCAUUUAAGCCUAAUUACUGUACUGGGGGCUAACACUUCUGCUUGUCCUUAAAUAUGUGUCAAGUUAACUUUGUUAUGAGUUGUUUUUAAGGCAGCAGAGAAAUGCAGAGAACGUUUUUGAGGUGAGAUGGUCCUCAUUGUAUCUCUCGUUUCCUCAGGGGUACUGGGCAAGCAUUGAACAUUCCUCAACCCAUUUUCUUUUCCUACCGGGGAAUAAAUAACUCCUGCCCUCAAAGAGUCUCCAGGAGGAUCACGGGAGCUGGUGCGCUCGUAUUCCUCCAUCCGCCCUGUGUUGAAGGCCGUGUUCAACAGCGGGUGAGACAGACGGUCACUGCCCCCAUGGACGUUAUGGUCCGGUCAGGACAGCAGAAGGUGCAUACUUAAUGCAUACGUAACGAACAUUUAUUGAGCUCUUACUGUGUGCCAGGCGCUGUUUUAAGCACCUUAUUUAAUCCUUGUGUCGGCGCCGUGAGGAAGCUAACGUCCGCGUUGUUCGCAUAUGAGGAGACUUAGGCGUAAGUGUGGUCGUGGCAAAGCCGGACUCCGAUGCACGUAGUGACUCUGUGUGCACCCUGUUGCUGCCCAGAGGGGGUGACUACGGGGUGCCGAGGGAACGGCAGUGGGGAUGCAGGCACUUUGAGGACUGGACUGCAGCACGGGAGGGACGUCCCAUUACCUUUGCCGUUCUUCUGUUGGUUAGAAACCAGUCGUGGGUCACCCCUGCACUCGGGGGAGGGGCUCGCACACGGGUGUGGACACCAGGAGGCUGCUGCCCCCCCCACCCCCCUCCCCCGCCAGGGUCUCUCCCCCACAGUUUCUGAUUUUAUUUGUGGACCUUUUGUCCUUGAACUUUCUUGUCACGUCAACAGUUGGCAGCUGAAAGGGAAAAAAAGAGCCAGGACACCAAGCCGCAUUUCUUACAUUUUUUCUUGAUCCUCCCGAAUUGCAGGUAUCUGCCCUCCAGGGAGUUAAUACCGUCUUCGUGGCCGUUUCCAUGGUUAACCGGUCCCAGGAAUUUUAUGAAAGAGAAAUCAAGCUUGAGUCAGGGUCAGCCGGGAGAAAAGGAAGAGCCUAGUGAAGAAUUCAGACGUUUCGUCAAUGCUUUAAAAUUCAUUCAUUCAUUCAUUCCUUCCUUCAUGCGUUCCCGUGGUCACGUGGCUGGGGGGGCACUUUGGUGAACUGCUUCUGCGCUCGAUACAGUCGUGGCCGCAUCCCUCCGCGACAUCCAGGGUAGGGGUAGUGGGGAAGAGAGGGUGGACACCCUCUGCCUAGGACCUCUCGCGUGGUUUCACUCCCCGUGGGCAGGGGGACCACCCCGGAGCCCACUGCAGGGACAGGCAGACGAAGGGAAUGGUAUGUUGCUUCAAGCAGAAUAAGCACAAUUGUACCUUUUCCUGCUGAGCCAGAUCAUCGCGUUGAACCCUGGUGGCCGUGGCCGUGCUGUGUAGUGUGGAACAAUGGCCUGAAGGCCCCAGCUUCGGAGCGUGGGGCUUUUUAGUGUUGGUGACCGUGUUUUAUAGCAUUUCCGUCCCUUCCGUUUUCUGCCCCUCACCUGUCUCCCCUUGGUUUUGCCAGUGAAUCUGACUUCAGCAAACCUUCUCCACCCUUCUGAGUUCUGCUUCCAAAUGACUGUGGGUCAGAAACCCCCAUCCCCAUACAGGUUAGCGCUGUGUGUAAGGUACGAGUUAAUGAGUGGAUCUCAAGGGCAAGCUGCCCCCUCCCCCCAAUAUCAGAGUAAGGGAGCGGGUGCCAUUUGAAAACAAAGCCUUGCUUUGAUUCGUUGCUUUUGUUUAGUAUCAGUUGUGUUAUUUACUAGACUUUGAAUGCCAGCUGUCAUGGCGGGGUGCCUGUGUGAAUAUCCACAGAAGACCACAUUGGGGUAACAGUACUUGCUGAGGAAGGGAAGGAACUUCAGUGGAUCAAAGGGCUUUCUUACUCCUCCCUCCCCACCCCACCCCCAUUGCUGCUGUUUAAUGAGUUAAUCAAUGACUCCAGGGGUGUGUUAGUUUCCUGGGGCUGCUGUAACAAAUUACCACAAACUGGGGGGACAGGGGGGCUUGCAACAACAGAAGUGUAUUCUCUUGCAGUUCUGGAAGCC
Molecule: long non-coding RNA, 8297 nt
Filed under: Lynx pardinus (Iberian lynx)
Lineage: Eukaryota; Metazoa; Chordata; Mammalia; Carnivora; Felidae
Source: RNAcentral